This 71-nucleotide transfer RNA is filed under the name Loxodonta africana (African savanna elephant). It matches the Rfam family "tRNA". From Rfam's summary of the family: Transfer RNA (tRNA) molecules are approximately 80 nucleotides in length. Their secondary structure includes four short double-helical elements and three loops (D, anti-codon, and T loops). The record is from Rfam by way of RNAcentral. Lineage: Eukaryota; Metazoa; Chordata; Mammalia; Proboscidea; Elephantidae.
GCAGUGGUGGUUCAGUGGUAGAAUUCUCACCUGCCGUGCACAAGACCCAGGUUCGAUUCCUGGCCAAUGCA